RNAcentral lists this transfer RNA (72 nucleotides) under Microcaecilia unicolor. It matches the Rfam family "tRNA". Rfam says of the family: Transfer RNA (tRNA) molecules are approximately 80 nucleotides in length. Their secondary structure includes four short double-helical elements and three loops (D, anti-codon, and T loops). The record is from Rfam by way of RNAcentral. Lineage: Eukaryota; Metazoa; Chordata; Amphibia; Gymnophiona; Siphonopidae.
GUUUCUAAAGGAAAAAAGCUAAUCCUUUGGUCUUAGACCCCAACAUUCUCGGUGCAAAUCCGUGUAAAAACU